RNAcentral lists this ribosomal RNA (497 nucleotides) under uncultured bacterium. RNAcentral's name for it is "partial 16S ribosomal RNA". It matches the Rfam family "Bacterial small subunit ribosomal RNA", at positions 28 to 507 of the family's 1533-position model. The record is from RNAcentral.
GAUGAACGCUGGCGGCGUGCCUAAUACAUGCAAGUCGAGCGAACAGACGAGGAGCUUGCUCCUCUGACGUUAGCGGCGGACGGGUGAGUAACACGUGGAUAACCUACCUAUAAGACUGGGAUAACUUCGGGAAACCGGAGCUAAUACCGGAUAAUAUAUUGAACCGCAUGGUUCAAUAGUGAAAGACGGUUUUGCUGUCACUUAUAGAUGGAUCCGCGCCGCAUUAGCUAGUUGGUAAGGUAACGGCUUACCACGGCAACGAUGCGUAGCCGACCUGAGAGGGUGGUCUGCCACACUGGAACUGAGACACGGUACAGACUCCUACGGGAGGCAGCAGUAGGGUAUCUUCCACAAUGGGAGGAGGCCUGACGGAGCAAAGCCGCGUGGGUGAUGAAAGUCUUCGGAUCGUAAAACUCUGUUAUUAGGGAAGAACAAAUGUGUAAGUAACUAUGCACGUCUUGACGGUACCUAAUCAGAAAGCCACGGCUAACUACGUG